UAGACCGAUAGCGAACAAGUAGAGUGAUCGAAAGAUGAAAAGCACUUUGAAAAGAGAGUUAAAAAGCACGUGAAAUUGUUGAAAGGGAAGCGCUUGCGACCAGACUCGCCCGCGGGGUUCAGCCGGCAUUCGUGCCGGUGUACUUCCCCGUGGGCGGGCCAGCGUCGGUUUGGGCGGCCGGUCAAAGGCCUCCGGAAUGUAGCACCCUUCGGGGUGCCUUAUAGCCGGGGGUGCAAUGCGGCCAGCCUGGACCGAGGAACGCGCUUCGGCACGGACGCUGGCAUAAUGGUCGUAAACGACCCGUCUUGAAACACGGACCAAGACU
RNAcentral lists this ribosomal RNA (325 nucleotides) under Aspergillus sp. RNAcentral describes it as "partial large subunit ribosomal RNA". It matches the Rfam family "Eukaryotic large subunit ribosomal RNA", at positions 330 to 673 of the family's 3401-position model. The record is from RNAcentral. Lineage: Eukaryota; Fungi; Ascomycota; Eurotiomycetes; Eurotiales; Aspergillaceae.